UACGUAGGCGGAAUGGUAAGUCAGUGGUGAAAUCCUACAGCUUAACUGUAGAACUGCCAUUGAUACUGUCAUUCUUGAGUACAUAUGAAGUGGGCGGAAUGUGUCAUGUAGCGGUGAAAUGCAUAGAUAUGACACAGAACACCGAUAGCGAAGGCAGCUCACUAAAUUGUAACUGACGCUCAUGCACGAAAGCGUGGGGAGCAAACAGGAUUAGAUACCCUGGUAGUC
Molecule: ribosomal RNA, 228 nt
Filed under: uncultured bacterium
Lineage: Bacteria
Description: partial 16S ribosomal RNA
Rfam family: Bacterial small subunit ribosomal RNA
Source: RNAcentral